UCUCCGUAGGUGAACCUGCGGAGGGAUCAUUACUGAGUGAGGGCCUUCGGGCUCGACCUCCAACCUUUUGUGAACACAACUUGUUGCUUCGGGGGCGACCCUGCCGUUUCGAUGGCGAGCGCCCCCGGAGGCCUUCAAACACUGCAUCUUUGCGUCGGAGUUUAAAACAAAUUAAACAAAACUUUCAACAACGAAUCUCUUGGUUCCAGCAUCGAUGAAGAACGCAGC
RNAcentral lists this unclassified non-coding RNA (228 nucleotides) under uncultured fungus. Its description in RNAcentral is "sequence contains ITS1, 5.8S rRNA gene". The stretch from base 180 to 228 matches the Rfam family "5.8S ribosomal RNA", at positions 1 to 49 of the family's 154-position model. Lineage: Eukaryota; Fungi. The record is from RNAcentral.